RNAcentral lists this ribosomal RNA (274 nucleotides) under uncultured bacterium. Its description in RNAcentral is "partial 16S ribosomal RNA". It matches the Rfam family "Bacterial small subunit ribosomal RNA", at positions 523 to 796 of the family's 1533-position model. The record is from RNAcentral.
AUACGGAGGGUGCGAGCGUUAAUCGGAAUUACUGGGCGUAAAGCGCGCGUAGGCGGUCUAUUAAGUCAGAUGUGAAAUCCCAGGGCUCAACCUUGGAACUGCAUCUGAUACCGGUAGACUAGAGUUUUGGAGAGGGAAGUAGAAUUUCAGGUGUAGCGGUGAAAUGCAUAGAGAUCUGAAGGAAUACCAGUGGCGAAGGCGACUUCCUGGCCAAAAACUGACGCUGAGGUGCGAAAGCGUGGGUAGCAAACGGGAUUAGAUACCCUAGUAGUCC